This 271-nucleotide ribosomal RNA is filed under the name uncultured bacterium. RNAcentral's name for it is "partial 16S ribosomal RNA". It matches the Rfam family "Bacterial small subunit ribosomal RNA", at positions 524 to 794 of the family's 1533-position model. The record is from RNAcentral.
GACAGAGGGUGCAAACGUUGCUCGGGAUUACUGGGCGUAAAGAGCGUGUAGGCGGUCCGGUAAGUCCGUUGUGAAAGUCAAGGGCUCAACCCUUGAAUGCCGGCGGAUACUGCCGGGCUAGAGUCCGGAAGAGGCGAGUGGAAUUCCCGGUGUAGCGGUGAAAUGCGCAGAUAUCGGGAGGAACACCGAUGGCGAAGGCAGCUCGCUGGGACGGUACUGACGCUGAGACGCGAAAGCGUGGGGAGCAAACAGGAUUAGAAACCCUUGUAGU